CUGCCCUUUGAAAACCUCCCCACGGUUAUCUGGAGAACAGGCACUGCGUGGGCAGUAGCAUGUCAGGCUUGCUCCAUGCUGCACUCCCCUUCCAAUGUGCUUCAACUCUGACCUGGAGAGACCUCCCCUAGGGCUAAGCGGGGAGCUUGGUGUCAUUGACAUGCAGCCCUUGGCAUCU
Chelonoidis abingdonii (Abingdon island giant tortoise) is the source of this 178-nucleotide unclassified non-coding RNA. NCBI's taxonomy places the organism in Eukaryota, Metazoa, Chordata, Testudines, Testudinidae. The record is from Ensembl.